GUCUACGAUAAUAGUUAGUAAUAUCAACAUUCACAAUCACAAAAUGCACGCAUUAAUAAUCUACGAUGAUAUCAACAUUAUAUACUCUAAUUAGUACCAAGAACUUAAGAUCCUCCCAACUUCAAAAGAAAGAUAAGCAUCAAGGCAAGCAUAACAUACUUGAUUGACGCUAAGCCAACGAUCAUCCCAAUCGCUCAUCGUCACACUCUUCGGCUUGUAAAUCUCAAUUCCAACAAUUUCCUUCACUAAACCCUUAAGCCCAUAACUCCGAAGAUUCUCAUUCUCAAGCUCCUCCAUAGCCCACUGCCUCAAAUCAACAGUAUUCGACACUCCAAUUCCCCAAUCAUUCAACAAUUUCCUCACAUCAUUCUCAACCCCAACUCCAACAAAUCUGUAAUCGUCGUUAUUCAGGAAGUUACGGAGUUUCCAGGGAAUAUUUGGGGCAUGAAUGAUUUGGUAAAUCAAACAGGAUUUUCCGACGCAGAGUUGGAGUGUUGCAACCGGGUUUUGACCUGCACCAGGGUUGAAGUUCGGGCGCCAUUCAACGUCGAUUCCGACGAUUAAGCGGUGGAGACGGGAUUGGUUAGAGGAUUCGGUUCUGUCGAUCCAUGAACAGACCAUGGCCGGAUCACGAGUAACUAGGGUUUCGAUUUCGGUUUCGUUCAAAAAUACAUCAUAGAGUUUGUGACUGUUGUAAGGUAACUGGUAAUCUUUGAUCCUUACACUCAUGGCGUU
RNAcentral lists this unclassified non-coding RNA (735 nucleotides) under Hevea brasiliensis (rubber tree). The record is from RNAcentral. Lineage: Eukaryota; Viridiplantae; Streptophyta; Magnoliopsida; Malpighiales; Euphorbiaceae.